AAAACAUUUCUAUUAGUAUAUAAUUAAUAGUAAAAUCUGCUCAAUGAAUCUUAAAUAGCCGCAAUUUAGUGCUAAGGUAGCAUAAUCAUUUGUCUUUUAAAUGAAGACUAGAACAAAAGAUUUAACAUUUCAAUUUAUUUCUUUUUAUAAAUCUCCAAAUUAUCCUAAAAGUAAAAAGACUUUUAUAUAUUAAGAAGACGACAAGACCCUAUUGAACUUAACUGAAGUUAAACUGGGGCAGUUAAUUAAUUACCAUUUUAAUAUAAAUAAAAUUAAAAAAAGCCAAUUAAUUGAUAAAUGAGUUACCAUAGGGAUAACAGCAUAAUUAUAUUUUAAAGACCUUAUUAAAAAAAUAGAUUGUGACCUCGAUGUUGAAUUAAUACCCUAAUUAAAGCAAAAUUUAAAUAAAGGAAGUCUGUUCGACUUUUAAAAAAUUACAUGAUUUGAGUUCAGACCGGUGUAAGCCAGGUCGGUUUCUAUCUCUUAUAUAGUUUUUUGUAGUACGAAAGGACCUAUUAAUAUUUUAUUAUAUAUUGGCAGAAUAAUGCAUUAGAAUUAGAAUCUAAUUAAACUCUUAUCAAUUUCAUACUAAAUUAUAUUUUAAUCACCAUUAGCAUCUUAGUAAGAGUAGCUUUUUAUACCAUUUUAGAACGAAAAAUCCUAGGAUAUAUACAAAUUCGAAAAGGGCCUAACAAAGUAGGAUUUUUAGGAAUCCUACAAC
RNAcentral lists this ribosomal RNA (721 nucleotides) under Marpissa lineata. RNAcentral's name for it is "partial 16S ribosomal RNA". The stretch from base 1 to 515 matches the Rfam family "Bacterial large subunit ribosomal RNA", at positions 1810 to 2925 of the family's 2925-position model. Lineage: Eukaryota; Metazoa; Arthropoda; Arachnida; Araneae; Salticidae. The record is from RNAcentral.